Long non-coding RNA from Scylla paramamosain (green mud crab), 2240 nucleotides. RefSeq lists it as uncharacterized. The record is from RefSeq and is a predicted model, not a curated record. Lineage: Eukaryota; Metazoa; Arthropoda; Malacostraca; Decapoda; Portunidae. The transcript is spliced from 7 exons.
UACCAGUGAAAGGGAAGAUUGAGAAUAUUGGAUAACUCUUGCACUUGGGAGGUGGACAUGAUAGUGGAAAACCUUGUAUAAUGAGACCACGAGAGGUGGGGAGGAAUGCAGUUGGCAUGAAAGAAACUAAAGAUGGCAAGAGAUGCAACAUUACAGCAAAAUGACUGGACUAUAGAAGCUAGCAAGAGAUGCAACAUUGCAAGAGAGAGAUACGUUUAUUAUUUCAUUAUUUGCUCACUUUUCUCCAAAAUAUUUUCACUGCAUACACCACAUCGAGAUGCAUACUUUGCUCGUAACAGUACACACUAAGUACACAUACCUACUCGCCAUAAUCCCGUUGUAAGCUCCCAUGCCAUGCGUCGCGUCGUCUACUCCCGGGCCGCGCAUGCUCAGAAGACGCACGUAAACACACGGUCUACGCCUCACGUUGCUUCAUGACACUCACCUUGCUCCGUUAAUUUGACAUUCUUUCCCCCAUUCCCUAAAAUGUGACUUAAUUCGUGGCCAAUAGUAAGAAGGUGGAAGCACUUACUAGUCAGCACCGCCGCCGGUCAUGUGGAAGGUGAGGGGAAGUGGAAGUAAGGGAACAUGGCAGGACAUUGGAGUGGAAGAGGAAAAAAUUGUGGACUAAACGGGUGGAAGGAAUGGGGAGAUUGAAAAGGUGGAAUACUUACAGCACAUCAUCACGUCCCUUACUGCUCCAUAUCCUGACCAGUGCACCCAGUCUUUUCAAUGAUAUAAGUUAAACGGGUGGACUUGGAACCUCAAGGGAAACUACAUGUAAUAAUUGAGUUAAAAUGGGUGGAACUGGAGGAUGGGAGUGUGCACUCUUGGGAGUUCAGGGAGUGGCAAUGCUUCACCUGAUGCUGUGGAGCCAUGAGGCAGAGGAUCCACCAGGUUAAUGGUCACAAGUUCAUGGCAACCUUCCUUUGACAACCUACUUUCUGCUCCCACUGCAGAGAAUUUAUUUGAGGCUUUGGAAAACAAGGGUAUCGGUGCCAAGUUUGUACCUGCAGCAUCCACAAGUGCUGUCACUGGUCCGUCAAUGCAUGUUGUUCAUGAAGCAAGAAUGUGGAGGCUAGAGUAACACAAGAACAAGCAGAGUAUUGGUGUGUGUUACCACACAGGUGGUAACAUGGAGAGCAAGUGGAAGAAACUGUGGGAGACUUGUGUGACUCAGGAACAGGAAGCACAUCUCACUGGGAACCUUGUGACUGGUGGUGGUGACUUCAGGAACCAACAUUCAGGUGGUAACAUGGAGAGCAAGUAGAAAAAACCUUGGGAGAUUUCCAUAACUCAGGAGCAAGAAGUACACCUUACUGGAACCUUAGUCACAUGACUAACUGCUGGUGGUGACUGCAGGAACGAACAUUUGGACAUGUCUUCUAGUGACAACGUCCUGUCUGCAAUCAGGCUGGUAGUGCCAUGUCACAGGGUCUGACAGGACCUCAGGAAGAGCCAAAUAUAGGGUGUCUACAGCCAUUACUGGGUGUACAAGUGUCACAAGCCAGUUGCCACAGCACAUCAUGUCAUCUGACUCCACCAGUGUAUUAUUAUUAUUAUAUUGUCCAGUCCAGGAUGCAUUGCUGUGUAUGACUUGAUAGUUUGCUAGCAAUGUGGUAUAUAGUUUAAGGUAUGGUUUGCACAUAGAAACCCCGGCCGAGCAACAUUGAUCGCUUGGACAGGAUUUUUUUGUGCAAACCGUACCUUUAAUUUUUUUUUGCCUUCAGGGCCCUUUGUUACUCUCAGAAAACUUGUUUGCAAAAGAAAAGAUAUUCUUCACAUGGUUAUUUAUAGCCAUAAAUAACUAUCAUUAUGUUCAUAAAAAUAUACCAGUUAUAUAAUAAAACAUGGCACUUAGGAAAACUAUUUUCCUUAUUUACUGAAGUGCUGAUGUACAAAAUUUAUUAUCCCAAGCCUGAAUGGUGGUGAUGCUUGCUGAGUACGGGAGAGGGAUUUCUUAUAAUAUUCUUCCUUCCCAGGCUGGAAUGGAUAAACACUCUUGCAGCAGGGCCUGGAAGUAGCAAUGCUUGCUGAUUCUUGUGUCAACCUGAGUGGGGAGCAAGCUCUUCUGGUGCCAAUAGCUCUUGUGCCUCUGAAAGUCCCUCAAUGUUGCUUGUCAGUCUCACCACAACUUAAAGGAAUUUCAUGCACUCUUCCUGCUGUUAACUGCUUGACAGUCUUGCUCCUGCUCAAAAUUUUUGACUUCCUCGAUUGCAAUAAAAAAACUCUUGUACCAG